UUUUAUUCUUGUGUUGCAUGUUAAUUAUCCAUCAGUAUGUUGAAACAAUUUAGGAAAAGAAUGUUUUGGAAACAUGCCUUCUGGAAAAUUAUUACAAAACAAGUCACAUGGAUUAUAUUCCCACAAAGCUAGGGGCUACAGAUUUCAUACUUCUGAUAUAUCCAAUUUUAUGCUUCCUAAAAUUGGCCUCACUUAAAGGCUUUGUAUUUCGCAAAUUGAGCUGACUGGUAUUUCAUCACUUCCAACCAUGCGCAAUGCAUUUAGUCUGGUAAUUAGUAGGUGCAUAUGCUGUUGUAGCUGAUGUCAUUUAGCCCUCUCCUUUUUUCUUGCAAUAGAACAUAUUGAAAUUGCAUUGGCCUCAGA
Molecule: unclassified non-coding RNA, 363 nt
Filed under: Hevea brasiliensis (rubber tree)
Lineage: Eukaryota; Viridiplantae; Streptophyta; Magnoliopsida; Malpighiales; Euphorbiaceae
Source: RNAcentral